This 445-nucleotide ribosomal RNA is filed under the name Micrococcus luteus. RNAcentral describes it as "bacterial SSU rRNA". It matches the Rfam family "Bacterial small subunit ribosomal RNA", at positions 28 to 487 of the family's 1533-position model. The record is from RNAcentral. Lineage: Bacteria; Bacillati; Actinomycetota; Actinomycetes; Micrococcales; Micrococcaceae.
GAUGAACGCUGGCGGCGUGCUUAACACAUGCAAGUCGAACGAUGAAGCCCAGCCUGCUGGGCGGAUUAGUGGCGAACGGGUGAGUAACACGUGAGUAACCUGCCCUUGACUCUGGGAUAAGCCCGGGAAACUGGGUCUAAUACCGGAUAGGAGCGCCUGUCGCAUGACGGGUGCUGGAAAGAUUUUUCGGUCAUGGAUGGACUCGCGGCCUAUCAGCUUGUUGGUGAGGUAACGGCUCACCAAGGCGACGACGGGUAGCCGGCCUGAGAGGGUGACCGGCCACACUGGGACUGAGACACGGCCCAGACUCCUACGGGAGGCAGCAGUGGGGAAUAUUGCACAAUGGGCGGAAGCCUGAUGCAGCGACGCCGCGUGAGGGAUGACGGCCUUCGGGUUGUAAACCUCUUUCAGUAGGGAAGAAGCGAAAGUGACGUACCUGCAGAAG